Molecule: long non-coding RNA, 233 nt
Filed under: Carica papaya (papaya)
Lineage: Eukaryota; Viridiplantae; Streptophyta; Magnoliopsida; Brassicales; Caricaceae
Description: long non-coding RNA (CPAP_LNC000083)
Source: RNAcentral
UCCCAUACCCCGUAUAGUAUGAGCACCAAAUGACCAAGUCUCCAUACUCCAUCCGGUAUGAGACAACGUUCAUGGUAGGGUUCUCUAUGAAUCCGGUCCGUCCACCAUCUCCCAGGAUAUUUAGUGAGGCUGUCAUCUUAUCUGUUUAUUAGAUCACACCCCUUUCAUGUUUUUCCUUAGUCUCUGUUACCAAAUCAAACAUAAUCACAUAAACAAAUAAACAUGCAUCCGCU